GUUGAUUGUCUUGUUUUUAGUUUUUGUUUAUUUAUCAUUUUAAUUGAAAAAUCAUUGGGGUUAUUGUAUUUUUGUGAUUUAAUUUUUUAUGCGAUAGGUUAUUUGUACCGUGAGGGGUUGGAGCUGUUUUGUUAAUGUUUUUUUGGAAGUUGAUUUUAUUUGUCGUACCUUGUGUAUCAGGGUUCAUUGAAUUUUAUUAUUUAUUUUUAUUUCCCGAUUUUAAAGGAGUUAAUAAUUUAUAUUAGUUACUGUUUCAUUAGUAUUAAUGAUAAUUUAUUGGUAGUGAAAUGCUAUUCGUCUUUAGUGGUUUCUGGUUUUUCAAGAAAUGAAUUUAAUUCAUACAUCUUAUUUAAUUUCUGUUGUUUAUUAUAUUUAUUUUUAUUUGAUGUUAAGAUUAAGGGGGAUUAGCUCCUUAGUUUUGUUUUAUAAUUUUUUGUUUAAUUUAGUUUUGUGGAUUUUAUAGUGAUUUUCAAUUUGAUUAUGUUAAAAUUUUAUUUGUUCUUUUGUUUAUUUUUUGUGAUUUAAUUUUUUAUUGAAAUGUUUACUUUAUUUUUAGUUGUAUAGUAAUUAUUGUGUAAUUAGUAAAUUUUUGUUUGAUUGCGUUGUUUGUAUUUAAUGUUAAUUUCCUUUGAGGAAUUCGGCAAAAGUUUUCAUGUCCGCCUGUUUAACAAAAACAUCUUUUCUUGUUAGUUUUUGAAGUAUGGCCUGCCCACUGACUUUGAGUUGAAGGGCCGCGGUAUUUUGACCGUGCAAAGGUAGCAUAAUCAUUAGUUCUUUAAUUGUGAUCUGGUAUGAAUGGCUUGACGAGACAUGAGCUGUCUUAUAGGUAUUGUUUUGUUGAAUUUAGUUUUUAAGUUAAAAUUCUUAGAUGUUUUUAUGGGACGAGAAGACCCUAUAGAGUUUAACAUUUAUUAUUGGCUAUGUUUAAUGUUGUUUGUAUUAUGUUUUUGAGCUUUUUAAAUGUUUUGUUGGGGUGAUGGGAGGAAUUUUUUUAACUCCUCUUUUCUUAUUAUAUAUUUAUUUAUAUUUGUUUGAUCCAUUUAUUUUGAUUAUAAGAUUAAAUUACCUUAGGGAUAACAGCGUUAUCUUCCUUGAGAGUUCUUAUUGGCGGGGAGGUUUGCGACCUCGAUGUUGGAUUAAGGUGAAUUUUCGGUGCAGGAGCUGGAAGCGAUUAGGUCUGUUCGACCUUUAAAACCUUACAUGAUCUGAGUUCAGACCGGCGUGAGCCAGGUUGGUUUCUAUCUAUAAUAAUGUUUAUAUCUUAGUACGAGAGGACCGGAUAUUUGAAAUAAUUUUAGUUAUGUGAUUUUCAUUAAUAUUAUACUAUUUUGGCAGAUAAGUGCAUUGGAUUUAGAAUCUAUUAA
RNAcentral lists this ribosomal RNA (1364 nucleotides) under Embiratermes brevinasus. RNAcentral describes it as "16S ribosomal RNA". The stretch from base 851 to 1252 matches the Rfam family "Bacterial large subunit ribosomal RNA", at positions 2049 to 2651 of the family's 2925-position model. Lineage: Eukaryota; Metazoa; Arthropoda; Insecta; Blattodea; Termitidae. The record is from RNAcentral.